UCUUGUUUUAGUUCAAGUGCCUCUAUUUCCAGAUCACUUAUCUUAGUAUUUAAGUUCUUUUCCCAGUUGUCUUCAGACUCUCUUAAUUGUGAUUUUAAUUGUAUUUUGAGUUCAUUCAUAGCCUGUAUCCAAUAUGCUGUUUUUUUUUCUUUUUGUUUGUUUGUUUGUUUGUUUUUGUUUGGUAUUCCCUCAUCCUUCUGUGUUCUGUUUGCUCUUUAUUCAUUGCCUGUAUGAAGCUGUCAAUUGUAAUUUCUUUUUUCUUUUUCUGUUGGUUGCUCAUAUUUACCCAUUCUUUACUCCCUGCAAUUGCCUGAGCUCUUGCUCCUCUCAUUUUUUUUUUUUUUUUUUUUUUGUAAAGUUUUGAUGUGUUUGCUUAUCUCUCCCUACUAUUGCCCCUGUACUCUGCUCCUUUCCCCCUAUCCAGGGUCAAGGGCUUUUUAUUUCUUUUGGUAUUUGUGUACUGUAGUUCCUUCAUGUUGGUAGCCUUUGCUAUGCUUGUUUUUUUCUUUGAAUUAUCUUAGAUUCUCAGCCAGAAGUCUGAGUGAGGCAUGAAGAUUGUUCUUGGUGUAGUGGGCUUUAAAGAGUUUUGCCCUGAGGCUAUUUCUCCAGUCCCCACUGUAUUUGCUGAGCCAGCCUGGGACUUCCCUGUCUCCAAGCCUGUGCUCCAUGCUCUAUGCCCUAUGCUCCAUGCCCCAUGCCCCAUUCCUCAGCCUCGGGUCCUGAGUCUAGCUGCCAAGGCUCUGUGGUGCUCUCAAGGGUAAGACUGAGGUGGUCUCAGUCAGCCCCCAAGAAUUUAGGGAUUGUCCCAGCCCUUGCUAUGACUCUGGCCUGGUAGGUGGUAUGGGGGAGUGAUUAGUUCUUGCUUUGUUAGGGGUAAUUUUACCCACUUAUAGUGUGGAAAUGCCCAAACUACGCCUACCUUCAAAGCUGUUCUCCUUGGCAAAGCCUCUUCCCUUGUCUGAUUUUGAUUUUUGUCCUUUUGAGACACUUUGCUGUGAUAGGUGUAGAAAGAGUUAUGUUGUUUCUUCUACUCUAUGGCCAUCUUAGCCUGGAAGUCCUAUUUUUUGGUACUUCAAUUGGGAUGUAGAAAAUAGUAGAUUAGAUAGGAUGAUAGGUACAAUGAUAAUUAUAUUAACUCUGCCUAUCCAUGAAUAAUUAAUAUUUCUCCAGUUACAUGGAUCUGACUUAUUUGUGUUAAAAUGUUCUAUAAUUAUGUUCAUAUAGUUCUUGGGUUUGUUUUGGUAAGAAUACUCCCAGGCAUUAUAUUCUAACUCUGGUUAUUUGAAAUUUAUCUCUUUCUGUAUCUUCUUGAAGGACUUUGUCAGUAAUAUAUAACACUGCUAAUAUAUGUGGAUUUAUAUUAU
Molecule: long non-coding RNA, 1364 nt
Filed under: Monodelphis domestica (gray short-tailed opossum)
Lineage: Eukaryota; Metazoa; Chordata; Mammalia; Didelphimorphia; Didelphidae
Description: lncRNA (ENSMODG00000045870.1)
Source: RNAcentral